RNAcentral lists this ribosomal RNA (253 nucleotides) under uncultured bacterium. RNAcentral describes it as "partial 16S ribosomal RNA". It matches the Rfam family "Bacterial small subunit ribosomal RNA", at positions 524 to 776 of the family's 1533-position model. The record is from RNAcentral.
UACAGAGACUGCAAGCGUUAUUCGGAUUCACUGGGCGUAAAGGGUGCGCAGGCGGCCAAGUGUGUGAGGCGUGAAAGCCCGGGGCUCAACUCCGGAAUUGCCUUUAAGACUGCAUCGCUCGAAUUGUGGAGAGGUAAGUGGAAUUCCGAGUGUAGAGGUGAAAUUCGUAGAUAUUCGGAAGAACACCAGUGGCGAAGGCGACUUACUGGACACAUAUUGACGCUGAGGUGCGAAAGCGUGGGGAGCAAACAGG